Long non-coding RNA from Agrilus planipennis (emerald ash borer), 940 nucleotides. RefSeq lists it as uncharacterized. NCBI's taxonomy places the organism in Eukaryota, Metazoa, Arthropoda, Insecta, Coleoptera, Buprestidae. The transcript is spliced from 4 exons. The record is from RefSeq and is a predicted model, not a curated record.
UGACUCGAUGCUGCGCAAAAUGCCGCAGUGUGCGCUCUAGUGCUUUAAUUGGAAAAUUACCUGUAUGUCCGCAGUAUAAACUGACAAAAUUAUUUAGAAGUCUGUGAAUUUUAUGCAUUUGGUCCAUCUUGCCAUUUUGUAUUACAACCCACGCUACAUCGCCAUUUUUAAGACUUCACAAUUAACUUGCUUUUCCCUGCAUGUAUUCAUUAUUGUUUUUCAUGUCUCAAUUGUUUAUUGUAUUAAUAGUGAAGUUUAUUUUUUUCUUCUCCAUAUUUACAGAUUGACGAUAAUAGAAGUGGUAAAUGUUCAUUGUGAUGCAACUGAAAAUGAAAAUCUUUUGCCAUGGUGUUGUCUUCAGUUUAGAGUCUUCUAUAGUUAAGGAACAUUACAAAAACUGGAUGGCAUUAAAUUACAGAGCAUUGCUUGUAUCAGUCCUCAUUCCCUCGAGAAAGUAGAUGUUCCUAUGGUCCUAAAGAAAACAUGUUUUUUUUUCAUUGAGGAUGAAGGCAGUUUGCCGUUGUUAAAGGAGAUUUAUUACAGUGAACUGAAAUAGCACAAGCAGAGAAGCAGAAUUAAUAUGAAAUUUCUCUUUUGAUCAAAGUGAAAGUUAGCUUUUAACUUUUGAACUUGCAAGGGGGAGGCAAGAGGAAGUUAAUUUGGAAACCACUGGAACAACAUUACCAGCAAUUGUAUCAUUUCUGGAUUUGGCUUGCUCAUUACACUUGUAGACUUUAGAACACUACAUUCCACAAUUACUUAAGAUCGUCUAACAAAUGAGAGGGAAUUAAAGUUUUUGGUCGUACUGAAACAACCAAUGUCUGGAUGGGUGUGGUCUUUCGUGGAUCAUAUUGUUGAUUUGCAGUUUUCGUCUUCGCCUUGCAACAUUAUGCAGUCAAUUUUCAACCGACGAGUGAGAGCAACUGGAGAUUUAUUCGAA